UUUGUUUGAAAGCUUCGGCGGCCACGGAUUGGCUCGCGUCCCAUUAGGCAGUUGGCGGGGUAACGGCCCACCAAACCGACGAUGGGUAGGGGUUCUGAGAGGAAGGUCCCCCACAAUGGAACUGAGACACGGUCCAUACUCCUACGGGAGGCAGCAGUGAGGAAUAUUGGUCAAUGGGCGGAAGCCUGAACCAGCCAUGCCGCGUGCAGGAAUAAGGCCCUACGGGUCGUAAACUGCUUUUGUACGGGAGCAAUAAGGGUCACGAGUGGCCUGAUGAGAGUACCGUACGAAUAAGCAUCGGCUAACUCCGUGCCAGCAGCCGCGGUAAUACGGAGGAUGCGAGCGUUAUCCGGAUUCAUUGGGUUUAAAGGGUGCGUAGGCGGCGUGCCAAGUCAGGGGUGAAAGGUUCCGGCUCAACUGGGACAGUGCCUUUGAUACUGGUGUGCUGGAGUGCGCUUGCCGUGGGAGGAAUGAGUGGUGUAGCGGUGAAAUGCUUAGAUAUCACUCAGAACACCGAUUGCGAAGGCAUCUCACGAAGGCGUAACUGACGCUGAGGCACGAAAGCGUGGGGAUCAAACAG
RNAcentral lists this ribosomal RNA (580 nucleotides) under uncultured rumen bacterium. RNAcentral describes it as "bacterial SSU rRNA". It matches the Rfam family "Bacterial small subunit ribosomal RNA", at positions 195 to 775 of the family's 1533-position model. The record is from RNAcentral.